Molecule: ribosomal RNA, 497 nt
Filed under: uncultured bacterium
Lineage: Bacteria
Description: partial 16S ribosomal RNA
Rfam family: Bacterial small subunit ribosomal RNA
Source: RNAcentral
GAUGAACGCUGGCGGCGUGCCUAAUACAUGCAAGUCGAGCGAACAGACGAGGAGCUUGCUCCUCUGACGUUAGCGGCGGACGGGUGAGUAACACGUGGAUAACCUACCUAUAAGACUGGGAUAACUUCGGGAAACCGGAGCUAAUACCGGAUAAUAUAUUGAACCGCAUGGUUCAAUAGUGAAAGACGGUUUUGCUGUCACUUAUAGAUGGAUCCGCGCCGCAUUAGCUAGUUGGUAAGGUAACGGCUUACCAAGGCGACGAUGCGUAGCCGACCUGAGAGCGUGGGCGGCCACACGGGAACAGUGUCACGCUCCAGACUCCUACGGGAGGCAGCAGCGGGGAAUGAUCCGCAAUGGUCGAAAGCCUGAAGAAGUAACUCAUCGAGAGAGAAGAAGUUCUUCGGAUCGUAAGACUCUCUUAUCAGUAAAGAACAAAUAUGUAAGGACCUAUGCACGGCUAGACGGUACCGAAUCAGAUAGCCACGGCUAACUAUGUG